This 1145-nucleotide long non-coding RNA is filed under the name Nicotiana benthamiana. RNAcentral describes it as "long non-coding RNA (NBEN_LNC041378)". Lineage: Eukaryota; Viridiplantae; Streptophyta; Magnoliopsida; Solanales; Solanaceae. The record is from RNAcentral.
UCCGGCAAAGAUAAGAGGAUUAAAAGACUUUGAGAAGGGGAUAAAAAAGGGAGGCACAUGAGGAAGGAAUAAACAAGCUAUAAAGAAAAAGUGAUUGAAUAAAAAGGAAAAAGAGGGGGGAGUUACGCUUGGUCUUUAAAUAAAGAAUACAUUCAGACAUCUAGGGGGACUUUGAAGAAAAAUAUUCGGAGUUUAAGUUAAAAAUCUACUGGUCUUUCAAUCUAAAAAAGUUCAGUAAGUUUGAGAGAUAAAAGUUGAAAAGUGAGAUCUCUUUGUUAGUGAAAAUUAGUGCUAGUUUGCUUGUUCCAUCGAAGCUUCAAGCUUCUUCUUCCUCAAGUGUUUGAAAACCAGAAAACUACUACUUUUUUGUUUCUGGUUCCCUUCUGUUUUUGCCUGGGUUGCUAUUGGAUUGGUUGUUACUGUUUCAUUGGUUGCUACUGGAUUUUUUGCAAAUCUGUCCGUGGGUUUCUGCUACUGCUGGUCAUUAGUGUUGCUGCUCGUUGUUCGCUACUGUUGUCUGCUGAUCUUCCUCUUCUUUUGCUUCCUAUACCAGGUACAUGGCUGUAACUUUGCAAAUUUUGUAGCUGAAACUUGAAGCAUGAAUACAAAAAAAAAUCCCGAAGAGUUGAACUUGUUUUUGAAUUCACUUUAGUUGUAUAUUGAACACUAGUUGUAUAUAUAUUAGUUCACCCCCUUUACUAGAAUCAUGUAGGUAGCUGUGAUAUAUAACUUAACAUUUAUAUAUAGCAACUUAGUUUGUGAACUUUCUAUGUUAGUUUGUAGUUACAAAAGGGUUGAAAGUGUAGUUAUUAUUGCGCUGUUCAUUUCAAUUUGUUUGUUAAAAUGCAUGUCAAACUAGAAUCAGGCAAAAUAGACUUCUAUUCAUCAGGGCAAUCUAAUUUAAGCAUGCAAGUGGUUUGAAUUUAGGAUUAUUUUUAGAAUUCUAAGUCACCCCAUUCCAAUUGAUUAUUUUUUCCACAACUUGCAGUAGUUUGUUGAAUCAAAUAUUUGGGACACUAAAAGCCAAACAUUUCUCAAGUGGCGACUCUGAAAUAAAUAAUUCCGAUUCGAUAAUAUCACUUAAAUUGGAAAAACUCCCUUGUGCAUUUAUCCUUCGAGUAAGGCGCACAAAAAGGAGGUGUGAC